GAAGCUGGAUUCGCUAGUAAUCGCGCAUCAGCCAUGGCGCGGUGAAUACGUUCCCGGGCCUUGUACACACCGCCCGUCAAGCCAUGGAAGCCGGGGGUAUCUGAAGUACGUAACCGCAAGGAGCGUCCUAGGGUAAAACUGGUAACUGGGGCUAAGUCGUAACAAGGUAGCCGUACCGGAAGGUGCGGCUGGAACACCUCCUUU
This 204-nucleotide ribosomal RNA is filed under the name Dysgonomonas sp. RNAcentral describes it as "partial 16S ribosomal RNA". It matches the Rfam family "Bacterial small subunit ribosomal RNA", at positions 1322 to 1533 of the family's 1533-position model. Lineage: Bacteria; Pseudomonadati; Bacteroidota; Bacteroidia; Bacteroidales; Dysgonomonadaceae. The record is from RNAcentral.